Molecule: ribosomal RNA, 435 nt
Filed under: uncultured bacterium
Lineage: Bacteria
Description: bacterial SSU rRNA
Rfam family: Bacterial small subunit ribosomal RNA
Source: RNAcentral
GUCGACGCGAACGCACCUUCGGGUGUUAGUAGAGUGGCGGACGGGUGAGUAACACUUGGGAAUCUGCCUAGUAGUGGGGGAUAACUCGGGGAAACUCGAGCUAAUACCGCAUACGCCCUACGGGGGAAAGAUUUAUCGCUAUUAGAUGAGCCCAAGUCAGAUUAGCUAGUUGGUAGGGUAAAGGCCUACCAAGGCGACGAUCAGUAGCUGGUCUGAGAGAACGAUCAGCCACACUGGGACUGAGACACGGCCCAGACUCCUACGGGAGGCAGCAGUGGGGAAUAUUGCACAAUGGGCGCAAGCCUGAUGCAGCAAUGCCGCGUGUGUGAAGAAGGCCUGCGGGUUGUAAAGCACUUUCAAUUGGGAAGAAAAGGUUAGGGUUAAUACCCCUGAUUCUUGACGUUACCUUUAGAAGAAGCACCGGCUAACUCCGUG